UACGUAGGUGGCAAGCGUUGUCCGGAUUUAUUGGGUUUAAAGGGUGCGUAGGCGGCUUAUUAAGUCAGUGGUGAAAUACUCUAGCUCAACUAGAGGGGUGCCAUUGAUACUGAUGAGCUUGAGUACAGAUGAGGUAGGCGGAAUUGACGGUGUAGCGGUGAAAUGCUUAGAUAUCGUCAAGAACACCUAUAGCGAAGGCAGCUUACUAGGCUGUAACUGACGCUGAGGCGCGAAAGUGUGGGGAUCAAACAGG
RNAcentral lists this ribosomal RNA (253 nucleotides) under uncultured bacterium. RNAcentral describes it as "partial 16S ribosomal RNA". It matches the Rfam family "Bacterial small subunit ribosomal RNA", at positions 524 to 776 of the family's 1533-position model. The record is from RNAcentral.